AUGUUUGCAGAAGAAAUCAUAUAUACACACACACAACCAAGAAAAAGGAAAAAAAUAUGCUUCACUCUGCACUCAGAGUUAAUUAAUUCUGUCAAUGGAGGUCAUGGAAGAGAAAGACAGAACAAAUGCUUUCUUCUCUCUAGUAGAAAAGAAGUAAUUGAAAAAGAACAGAUUAGUAUAAAUAAAGAAAAAAUGACAAAUGAUGCUAUAGAAAAACCACAUAAAUGGAAUGAAGAAGUAUUUAUAAGAAAGGUGAGUUUUCUUAUAUGGCUAAUGGUUGGAGUAAUUGCCUGGUACAUUGCCUGGAGUAAAAUGCCUGGGCAAGAAUUAGCUCAGUUAAACACAGGUGAAGGUGGACAUGAUGAAGUUUAUAAGGAUCAUGCUUCCAUUGCCUCUUUGAUACCUUUGUUUGCUAUAUUUGGGGAAAAUUUCAGGCUAAGACUUUUGGAGUUCAUCCUAUAAGCUAAAAUUGGUCACCAGUAUCUUCAAGGUUAUAUAAUGUGGACUGAUGAAUGUUUAGAAUGAUUGAACCAAAGAAGAAGGGAAUAGAUGAAAGAGAAUAAUGAAGAAAAGAUUAGUGUUCUUAUCACCAAAGGGAAGUAUGCUAUGAAGCCACGAAUGAAUAACUUUGCUCCA
This 636-nucleotide long non-coding RNA is filed under the name Monodelphis domestica (gray short-tailed opossum). RNAcentral's name for it is "lncRNA (ENSMODG00000042715.1)". Lineage: Eukaryota; Metazoa; Chordata; Mammalia; Didelphimorphia; Didelphidae. The record is from RNAcentral.